UCCACUCGCUGCAACGGAUUCCACGUGGCUCCACCACUCUCUGACAAGCCACGACAAGGGCCGCUACCCUGCUUCACUCUCUGACAAGCCACGACAAGGGCCGCUACUCUGCUCACUCUCUGGCAAAUCACGACAACGGACACCACUCCACUCUCCACAAUGAGCUCCACGUGGCCCUGAACGACCCGUGACGCCACUACUCUCUGUAACAAACUCCGCACGGCUCUGAACAACCCAUUACUAGAUGGUUAUAGAUGUCGCUGUC
This 265-nucleotide long non-coding RNA is filed under the name Elaeis guineensis (African oil palm). RNAcentral's name for it is "long non-coding RNA (EGUI_LNC041913)". Lineage: Eukaryota; Viridiplantae; Streptophyta; Magnoliopsida; Arecales; Arecaceae. The record is from RNAcentral.